Molecule: ribosomal RNA, 274 nt
Filed under: uncultured bacterium
Lineage: Bacteria
Description: partial 16S ribosomal RNA
Rfam family: Bacterial small subunit ribosomal RNA
Source: RNAcentral
AUACGGAGGGUGCGAGCGUUAAUCGGAAUUACUGGGCGUAAAGCGUACGUAGGCGGUUGGUUAAGUUAGAUGUGAAAGCCCCGGGCUUAACCUGGGAACUGCAUUUAAAACUGGCGAACUAGAGUUGAGUAGAGGGGAGUGGAAUUUCAGGUGUAGCGGUGAAAUGCGUAGAGAUCUGAAGGAACACCAGUGGCGAAGGCGACUCCCUGGACUCGAACUGACGCUGAGGUACGAAAGCGUGGGUAGCAAACAGGAGUAGAAACCCUAGUAGUCC